This 442-nucleotide ribosomal RNA is filed under the name uncultured bacterium. RNAcentral's name for it is "SSU rRNA". It matches the Rfam family "Bacterial small subunit ribosomal RNA", at positions 26 to 517 of the family's 1533-position model. The record is from RNAcentral.
AGAACGAACGCUGGCGGCAGGCUUAACACAUGCAAGUCGAACGCCCCGCAAGGGGAGUGGCAGACGGGUGAGUAACGCGUGGGAAUCUACCCAGUUCUUCGGAAUAACACAGGGAAACUUGUGCUAAUACCGAAUACGCCUACGGGGGAAAGAUUUAUCGGGAUUGGAUGAGCCCGCGUUGGAUUAGCUAGUUGGUGGGGUAAUGGCCUACCAAGGCGACGAUCCAUAGCUGGUCUGAGAGGAUGAUCAGCCACACUGGGACUGAGACACGGCCCAGACUCCUACGGGAGGCAGCAGUGGGGAAUAUUGGACAAUGGGCGAAAGCCUGAUCCAGCCAUGCCGCGUGAGUGAUGAAGGCCUUAGGGUUGUAAAGCUCUUUUGUGCGGAAGAUAAUGACGGUACCGCAAGAAUAACGCCCGGCUAACUUCGCGCCAGCAGCCCG